RNAcentral lists this non-coding RNA (25 nucleotides) under Gossypium hirsutum (cotton). The record is from RNAcentral. Lineage: Eukaryota; Viridiplantae; Streptophyta; Magnoliopsida; Malvales; Malvaceae.
GCAUCUAACUUAUGAGAACGAGGUG